GUACCUUUCUCAGCUUUUUGGCUAAGAUCAAGUGUAGUAUCUGUUCUUAUCAGUUUAAUAUCUGAUAUGUGAGCCAUGUGCCUAUAACGAUAUUAAAUUUAUUUUUUAUGAGGGAGGGUCCACCACACUAGCUUGCUAGUGGGCGUUGCCUGGGCGUUGCACUAUUGUCCAGGCCAGACGCACCCCAA
Triticum urartu is the source of this 188-nucleotide non-coding RNA. NCBI's taxonomy places the organism in Eukaryota, Viridiplantae, Streptophyta, Magnoliopsida, Poales, Poaceae. The record is from Rfam.